Molecule: ribosomal RNA, 502 nt
Filed under: uncultured Paracoccaceae bacterium
Lineage: Bacteria; Pseudomonadati; Pseudomonadota; Alphaproteobacteria; Rhodobacterales; Paracoccaceae
Description: bacterial SSU rRNA
Rfam family: Bacterial small subunit ribosomal RNA
Source: RNAcentral
UGGCGGACGGGUGAGUAACGCGUGGGAACAUACCCUUUGGUACGGAAUAGCCUCGGGAAACUGAGAGUAAUACCGUAUGUGCCCUUCGGGGGAAAGAUUUAUCGCCAAAGGAUUGGCCCGCGUUGGAUUAGGUAGUUGGUGGGGUAAUGGCCUACCAAGCCGACGAUCCAUAGCUGGUUUGAGAGGAUGAUCAGCCACACUGGGACUGAGACACGGCCCAGACUCCUACGGGAGGCAGCAGUGGGGAAUCUUAGACAAUGGGGGAAACCCUGAUCUAGCCAUGCCGCGUGAUCGAUGAAGGCCUUAGGGUUGUAAAGAUCUUUCAGAUGGGAAGAUAAUGACGGUACCAUCAGAAGAAGCCCCGGCUAACUCCGUGCCAGCAGCCGCGGUAAUACGGAGGGGGCUAGCGUUAUUCGGAAUUACUGGGCGUAAAGCGCACGUAGGCGGAUCAGAAAGUCAGAGGUGAAAUCCCAGGGCUCAACCUUGGAACUGCCUUUGAAAC